Grus americana (Whooping crane) is the source of this 905-nucleotide long non-coding RNA. RefSeq lists it as uncharacterized. Lineage: Eukaryota; Metazoa; Chordata; Aves; Gruiformes; Gruidae. The record is from RefSeq and is a predicted model, not a curated record. The transcript has 4 exons.
CUUGGAUGGAUGCACCGGGCUGAGUCCUGCCCUUUGCCACCGCUGUUUGCUGCUCCCUGCGGUGAAAGAGCGACCGAUGCUGAGCACAUGCUGUGAGGAGAGGGACCAGGGCGAGAGGAUGGGGACAACGGGUACCAGACAUGGCCACCCACUGCCCCGCUGAACUGGGCGGUGGCAGGAAAACCCCUUUCCUCUGGGGCAGGGAGCUGCGACCCCAGUGGGGUCCCUGUGGUGGACCUUGUCUGCAAGGAAAGUGGACGGGGAGGCAGCUACUUCACAGAGAAGGGGAGACCAGGAAGAGCCAAGGGUCAGCCCAGGGGCUCUGAGGGGACCAGAGGUGAGCGGCCAUGGGGUGUUUCAGCGCCUGGCGACGGCCGGGACCUGUGAGAGAGCAGGUAACGGUCCCCGGACGGAUCCCUCAGUGCCCGGGGGCGGGCGGGACCUGUGAGGGAGCAGCUUUCAUUCUGAACUGAGGCUCGGACACCCAAUCAAGUCCUGCAGUUUAAAUGGGUUACUAUGGACAAGACUUCUCUCAUGGACUGAGAAAAAUAAAUAACUGUUUGCAAGCUCUCUGGGAUCUCACAGCACAGCAAACAAACAAGCAAGCAAAAAAUGUUCAUGAAGUUUAUUCACAUAAUUGCCCAACACUCUCAGCUUUAGUGGAGGAGCCUCUAAAAUUCGACUCAGCAAUUGGCAGGUGGAAAGCAAGAAAGCAAGAAAUUCUUUUUCCAGAUAAGCUGAUGAGAGCAAUUGACUGAAUCUUGAGCUUCUUCCCAGAAAAAAAAUGAGUUCUAGUCUGUGAAAGACUGAAAUUUUAUGUAUAAAAUAGUUCAACUUCUCUUCGACUCCAAGAACAGAUACAGAAGGUGUUUGACAGACCUAACAAAGGCUUUAUUCAUUCUCAU